This 253-nucleotide ribosomal RNA is filed under the name uncultured bacterium. RNAcentral describes it as "partial 16S ribosomal RNA". It matches the Rfam family "Bacterial small subunit ribosomal RNA", at positions 524 to 776 of the family's 1533-position model. The record is from RNAcentral.
UACAGAGGGGGCAAGCGUUGUUCGGAAUUACUGGGCGUAAAGGGCGCGUAGGCGGCCCGCUAAGUCGAACGUGAAAUCCCCGAGCUCAACUCGGGAACUGCGUCCGAUACUGGCGGGCUUGAGUCCGGGAGAGGGAUGCGGAAUUCCAGGUGUAGCGGUGAAAUGCGUAGAUAUCUGGAGGAACACCGGUGGCGAAGGCGGCAUCCUGGACCGGCAUUGACGCUGAGGCGCGAAAGCUAGGGGAGCAAACGGG